RNAcentral lists this ribosomal RNA (303 nucleotides) under uncultured bacterium. RNAcentral's name for it is "partial 16S ribosomal RNA". It matches the Rfam family "Bacterial small subunit ribosomal RNA", at positions 507 to 808 of the family's 1533-position model. The record is from RNAcentral.
AGCAGCCGCCACGGUAAUACGUAGAGGGCAAGCGUUAUCCGGAAUUACUGGGUGUAAAGGAGCGUAGACGGUUAAACAAGUCUGAAGUGAAAUGCCGGGGCUCAACCCCGGAGCUGCUUUGGGAACUGUAGAACUGGAGUGUCGGAGGGGUAAGCGGAAUUCCCAGUGUAGCGGUGAAAUGCGUAGAUAUUGGGAGGAACACCGGCGGCGAAGGCGGCUUACUGGACGACAACUGACGUUGAGGCUCGAAGGCGUGGGUAGCAAACAGGAUUAGAUACCCGUGUAGUCCCUGUCUCUUAUACA